CGUGAGAUGUUGGGUUAAGUCCCGCAACGAGCGCAACCCCUAUCAACAGUUGCCAUCAUUAAGUUGGGAACUCUGUUGAGACUGCCGUUGAUAAAACGGAGGAAGGUGGGGAUGAUGUCAAGUCAUCAUGGCCUUUAUGUUCAGGGCUACACACGUGCUACAAUGGACGGUACAAAACGUCGCGAUCCUGCAAGGGGGGAGCUAAUCGCAAAAACCGUUCUCAGUUCGGAUUGAAGUCUGCAACUCGACUUCA
This 253-nucleotide ribosomal RNA is filed under the name uncultured bacterium. RNAcentral's name for it is "partial 16S ribosomal RNA". It matches the Rfam family "Bacterial small subunit ribosomal RNA", at positions 1066 to 1320 of the family's 1533-position model. The record is from RNAcentral.